CACGUAGGGGGCGAGCGUUGUCCGGAUUUAUUGGGCGUAAAGAGCUCGUAGGCGGCUCAGUAAGUCAGGUGUGAAAACUCCAGGCUCAACCUGGAGACGCCACCUGAUACUGCUGUGGCUAGAGUCCGGUAGGGGAGCAUGGAAUUCCUGGUGUAGCGGUGAAAUGCGCAGAUAUCAGGAGGAACACCAGUGGCGAAGGCAGCACUCUGGGACGUGACUGACGCUGAGACGCGAAAGCGUGGGGAGCAAACAGG
This 254-nucleotide ribosomal RNA is filed under the name uncultured bacterium. RNAcentral's name for it is "partial 16S ribosomal RNA". It matches the Rfam family "Bacterial small subunit ribosomal RNA", at positions 524 to 776 of the family's 1533-position model. The record is from RNAcentral.